GGAAUGUGAAGGCUCUGGGCAAAAUCUGGAUGAUUUUUCUCUUUGGUUUGUGGGCUUCUGGAGACCAUGACUAAUGAUGGAUUUGUGAAGCUUCCAUGUAGAUCCCAUGUCUCAUGCCUGGUUGCUCUGAUCAGAAGGACGCACUCUGCUCUGCUUGGAAGCAGUACUUUCAGAGGACACCAGGAGUUAUGUGGGCCCUGUUUUCCUUCCUGUGGAGGAAGAAGCAUUCACGUUCACAUGCUAUUCGUUGUUUCGAGAUUGUUUAAGAAGCCACCGCUGUUGAACUAGCAGGGGAUCUUUCCUUCAGUGAACUUUGCCAGAGCAGCUGAUUGGUGUGCCCCAGCUGCAUGCCAUCAUUUUCUUGGGAAAGUUUUAAGACUGUCAGAAAAAUGAACAUCUUCUUUCCUAGCCCUUAUUGACGUGUAUGGGCUUUGCUGGCCUUUCCAACUCCAGUGUGGGAGGGGUUGUUUGUUUUCCUUUUAAAUGUUAUCCUGCCAUCCUCCUCUUUUAACAAUGCUGUAUAUACAUGAAGACUUGCUGUGUAUUCAGUGUGGCACAUGGAUGGAGAGGAUGCUUUGAACUGCUUUUGCAACAAUGGAUUCUGCUUGACUGAUAAUGAAACCAUGGGUUAGACCUCAGGGAGUGGUAAAGAGAUGAGGGAUCCUGAGGUCACUGUGCCAUGUGGGACAACUGAAUGUGCCAAAGAUUGUGAACAUGAGUCUUCUC
This is a long non-coding RNA of Melozone crissalis (California towhee), 726 nucleotides long. RefSeq lists it as uncharacterized. The record is from RefSeq and is a predicted model, not a curated record. NCBI's taxonomy places the organism in Eukaryota, Metazoa, Chordata, Aves, Passeriformes, Passerellidae. The transcript has 4 exons.